CUCCCUCCCUGGCAAAGGUUUAACCGAAAGCGUCGUGUUCCAGGCCACAGUACGUGACUGAGAAGACAAUCAGCAGAAAGCGACCUACGUUGGACACACAGCUGGCCCAUUUAAAUUGAGAUACUACAAUCACACAAGCUCGUACAUGAUUCCGGAACAUAAACAUUCAACCGAACUGAGUAAAUAUAUUUGGCAGUUGAAACAAUCCAACAUAGAAUAUUCUAUCCCCUGGAAAAUUUUAAAGAAAUGCAAGGCGUACUCACACAAAACAAAACGUUGUAAAUUAUGCUUGCACGAAAAGUUUAUUAUAACUUACUGUCCCAAAUUAAGCUCUUUGAACUCAACAAACGAACUAAUAUCCGCAUGUAGGCACAGGAAAAAAUUCCUGCUCUGCAGCCAAUAGCUCAUUUACAGACAUAUAGGCUAUUUACGC
This is a non-coding RNA of Paramuricea clavata, 433 nucleotides long. The record is from the annotation of a GenBank genome assembly. NCBI's taxonomy places the organism in Eukaryota, Metazoa, Cnidaria, Anthozoa, Malacalcyonacea, Plexauridae.